GACGAACGCUGGCGGCGUGCCUAAUACAUGCAAGUCGAACGCAGUGGGGACGGGUGAGUAACACGUGGGUAACCUCCCAUCAGAGGGGAUAACACUUGGAAACAGGUGCUAAACCGAUACUGAUGGAUGAACCCGCGGUGCAUUAGCUAGAUGGUGAGGUAACGGCUCACCAAGGCCACGAUGCAUAGCGGACCUGAGAGGGGGAUCGGCCACACUGGGACUUAGACACGGCCCAGACUCCUACGGGAGGAAGCAGUAGGGAAUAUGCGGCAAUGGACGAAAGUCUGACCGAGCAACGCCGCGUGAGUGAAGAAGGUUUUCGGGUCGUAAAAUUCUGUUGUUAGAGAAGCGUUAUCUAAACAGAAAGCCCCGGCUAACUACGUGCCAGCAGCCGCGGUAAUUC
RNAcentral lists this ribosomal RNA (403 nucleotides) under uncultured bacterium. RNAcentral describes it as "partial 16S ribosomal RNA". It matches the Rfam family "Bacterial small subunit ribosomal RNA", at positions 28 to 526 of the family's 1533-position model. The record is from RNAcentral.